RNAcentral lists this ribosomal RNA (565 nucleotides) under uncultured Glomus. Its description in RNAcentral is "SSU rRNA". It matches the Rfam family "Eukaryotic small subunit ribosomal RNA", at positions 546 to 1106 of the family's 1831-position model. Lineage: Eukaryota; Fungi; Glomeromycota; Glomeromycetes; Glomerales; Glomeraceae. The record is from RNAcentral.
AAUUGGAGGGCAAGUCUGGUGCCAGCAGCCGCGGUAAUUCCAGCUCCAAUAGCGUAUAUUAAAGUUGUUGCAGUUAAAAAGCUCGUAGUUGAAUUUCGGGAUUGACACGUCGGUCGUGCCCUAAGGGGUAUGAACUGGCGUAGUCAAUUUCUCACCUUCUGGAGAACCGCGCUGUCCUUAAUUGGGUGACGCGGGGAACCAGGACCUUUACUUUGAAAAAAUUAGAGUGUUUAAAGCAGGCAUUUUGCUUGAAUACAUUAGCAUGGAAUAAUAAAAUAGGACGGCAUGAUUCUAUUUUGUUGGUUUCUAGGAUCACCGUAAUGAUUAAUAGGGAUAGUUGGGGGCAUUAGUAUUCAAUUGUCAGAGGUGAAAUUCUUGGAUUUAUUGAAGACUAACUACUGCGAAAGCAUUUGCCAAGGAUGUUUUCAUUAAUCAAGAACGAAAGUUAGGGGAUCGAAGACGAUCAGAUACCGUCGUAGUCUUAACCAUAAACUAUGCCGACUAGGAAUCAGACGAUGUUAAUUUUUUAAUGACUCGUUUGGCACCUUACGGGAAACCAAAGUGU